This 375-nucleotide long non-coding RNA is filed under the name Ananas comosus (pineapple). Its description in RNAcentral is "long non-coding RNA (ACOM_LNC000262)". Lineage: Eukaryota; Viridiplantae; Streptophyta; Magnoliopsida; Poales; Bromeliaceae. The record is from RNAcentral.
UUUCUCUUGUUUGUUUUACUUCUCGCUCUCGAUUUGUUUCUCUCCUCUUCGUCGUUUCUUCUUCUCAUGUUUUCUCUCCCUUCUCCUUCUCCUCUACCGCCUCUACAUUGUUAUCGUGUUCUACUUUUUUACCUUAAACACACUUUUGUGACACUGGCUUCAAUAUGAUAUAGAUCGCUAAGGUAAGGCUACGGGAGUGCGCAUGGCCGCGGAUGGUGAUGGCGAUUGCGAUGAAGACAAGAGCGCCAACGGAUUUGAGGUCAGUGGGGAAAGAGAGCGAGUCAGAGUGGUUGCUGUGAUAGGGCAAGGGAGGAGGCGCGCUAGCAUAUAAAGAUGUGAAGAUUAAAAAAAAUAAUAAGAAAAAAUAAUAAAAAG